AAACAUGGCUCCUUGAAAUUUAAUAAUAAGGAGUCGGACCUGCCCAGUGAAUUUUUCAACGGCCGCGGUACUCUGACCGUGCAAAGGUAGCAUAAUCAUUUGCCUUAUAAUUGAAGGCUAGUAUGAAUGGUUUGACAAGAAUAUAGCUGUCUCUUUAUGAUUUAAUAGAAUUUUAUUUUUAGGUGAAGAAGCCUAUAUAGAAUUAAAAGACAAGAAGACCCUAUCGAGCUUAUAAAUAAUUUAACAAGAACUUAAAUUAAUAAAAUUAAAAAAUUAGCUAUAAAAAAUUUUAGUUGGGGCGACUAAGGAACACAAAAAGCUUCCUUUAAAAAUUACUUAAAUGAAACAAAAACUGAUCCAGAAUAUUCUGAUUAAAGGAAUUAGUUACCGUAGGGAUAACAGCAUUAUCUUUUUCAAGAGCUCAUAUCGAAAAAAAGGUUUGUGACCUCGAUGUUGGACCAGAAUAUCCUAAAGAUGCAGCAGUCUUUAAGGGUUGGUCUGUUCGACCAUUAAAAUUCUACGUGA
RNAcentral lists this ribosomal RNA (525 nucleotides) under Nassarius sp. 733 LAG-2016. RNAcentral describes it as "partial 16S ribosomal RNA". It matches the Rfam family "Bacterial large subunit ribosomal RNA", at positions 1811 to 2603 of the family's 2925-position model. Lineage: Eukaryota; Metazoa; Mollusca; Gastropoda; Neogastropoda; Nassariidae. The record is from RNAcentral.